RNAcentral lists this ribosomal RNA (467 nucleotides) under uncultured bacterium. Its description in RNAcentral is "partial 16S ribosomal RNA". The stretch from base 20 to 330 matches the Rfam family "Bacterial small subunit ribosomal RNA", at positions 47 to 358 of the family's 1533-position model. The record is from RNAcentral.
GACGAACGCUGGCGGCGUGCUUAACACAUGCAAGUCGAACGGAAAGGCCUCUUUCGGGGGGUACUCGAGUGGCGAACGGGUGAGUAACACGUGAGUAACCUGCCCUUGACUUUGGGAUAACUUCAGGAAACUGGGGCUAAUACCGGAUAGGAGCUCCUGCUGCAUGGUGGGGGUUGGAAAGUUUCGGCGGUUGGGGAUGGACUCGCGGCUUAUCAGCUUGUUGGUGGGGUAGUGGCUUACCAAGGCUUUGACGGGUAGCCGGCCUGGGAGGGUGACCGGCCAAGGGGGGAAAGAGAAGAGGCCCAGAUCACGGGGGGGGGGAGGAGGGGGGAAGAGGGAAAAAGGGGGGGAGGCAGGAGGCAGAAAGGCGGGGGGGGGGAGGGCGGCCUGGGGGGGGUAAACCGUGUUGGACAAGGAAAAAGCUUGGCGUGACGGUAGGGGAAAAAGAAGCACCGGAUAACUACGUG